RNAcentral lists this ribosomal RNA (429 nucleotides) under Acidobacteriota bacterium. Its description in RNAcentral is "Acidobacteria bacterium partial 16S ribosomal RNA". It matches the Rfam family "Bacterial small subunit ribosomal RNA", at positions 355 to 776 of the family's 1533-position model. The record is from RNAcentral. Lineage: Bacteria; Pseudomonadati; Acidobacteriota.
UGGGGAAUAUUGGACAAUGGGCGCAAGCCUGAUCCAGCCAUACCGCGUGGGUGAAGAAGGCCUUCGGGUUGUAAAGCCCUUUUGUUGGGAAAGAAAAGCAGCUGGUUAAUACCCGGUUGUUCUGACGGUACCCAAAGAAUAAGCACCGGCUAACUUCGUGCCAGCAGCCGCGGUAAUACGAAGGGUGCAAGCGUUACUCGGAAUUACUGGGCGUAAAGCGUGCGUAGGUGGUUGUUUAAGUCUGUCGUGAAAGCCCUGGGCUCAACCUGGGAAUUGCGAUGGAAACUGGGCGGCUAGAGUGUGGCAGAGGAUAGUGGAAUUCCUGGUGUAGCAGUGAAAUGCGUAGAGAUCAGGAGGAACAUCCGUGGCGAAGGCGACUGUCUGGGCCAACACUGACACUGAGGCACGAAAGCGUGGGGAGCAAACAGG